GGAGUUGUGGCUCAGUGGUAGAGUGCUUGCCUAGCAUGUGUGAGGCCUUGGGUUCGAUUCUCAGCACUGCUCCA
Molecule: transfer RNA, 74 nt
Filed under: Marmota monax (woodchuck)
Lineage: Eukaryota; Metazoa; Chordata; Mammalia; Rodentia; Sciuridae
Description: tRNA.Ala
Rfam family: tRNA
About the family: Transfer RNA (tRNA) molecules are approximately 80 nucleotides in length.
Source: RNAcentral